GUAUCAUCCGCCAGACUCUACCCGAGUUUUUCUCCUCAGUUAAACCCUACUCAGCUCAGAAAAAACCUCUUCCCUACCACAGAGAGAGAGAGAGAGAGAGAGAGCGCUUAGGGUUGGGGUUUUCAUCCUCGUUUUCUCUUCUUCUUCGCUCUGUCGAUCCAUCCAUGCAUUCAAAUUGCAGCUGAAAUUUGAGAAGAUGGAGAAAGUAACAAUAGAAAUACGUGAAGAUGGAGGGUCGGAGUACUGACGUAUAGAACCAGUGAUUUUCUUGACGGAUUUGCCAGAAUUUCUUAUUGGAUUUUGAGAUGGAGUUCUCGAUAGUAUGGGACAAUGCCAAUAGCAUAAACUCUACCAAGAAGCCAUAUCAUUCGAAAGGUGGGUCAGAGAGGACUUGGGAGGAUGCAUUUUUUGAGCUGGCCAUCAUUGUAGCUUUUGCCAUUGGAUUUUUUUGGUACAUGUGGCUUCGCAGAGCACGGGUGGGUCGUGAACUGGAUGAAUUUGCCGCGGAGUUGCAUGAAUUUAUGGAACGACUAGAGGCCACUGACAAUCGACGCUAUGAGAAUAUUACACGGGCGUUGGGACAGUUGGAAGAGAAGUGCCUGGCAUUCCGUGAAGUUCUGCGACGACAUCGACGGGCCAUUGGGAACCGACGCUACUAUUCUGUGAUGGCAACACUACAGGAGCUGGAGGAGGCUAUUUCGAGGCGGAGGCUGCGUGAGAUGGGAGAGGACACUUCGGAGCAGCAGAGGCUGGUGAUGACCGCAGACUGAUAGUCUACCAAGAGUAAUGAAAUGAAAUGUGUUUACGCUUGAUUUCUGGAGCUAGUUCAUGGAGUUCUGAUUUGUUUGGGAAGGUGACAGGAUUGUGUAGUUGCGGCAUGUGAAGCAGCAUGGCUAAUGGUGCUGAUUUUGGGGAACCUUCUGUUUGGAAGAGCAACAGCAGAUGCACAUUGCUGGGAGGAUUUUAUUUUUAAUUUUUCUGUACAUACACUGUUGUACUCCUUUGAGAAUGUACAUAGAGAUCUUUUGAAACUGAAUGGUUGGUUAUGGGUUUUACAUGUAUUGUUGUUGUAUAGAUGUCGUGCUUUAUAACAUUCUAAGGGUUGGUACGUACAUGGAAUUGGAUAAAGAUCUUUUAACUGUA
This is a long non-coding RNA of Magnolia sinica, 1143 nucleotides long. RefSeq lists it as uncharacterized. The transcript is spliced from 4 exons. The record is from RefSeq and is a predicted model, not a curated record. Lineage: Eukaryota; Viridiplantae; Streptophyta; Magnoliopsida; Magnoliales; Magnoliaceae.